Molecule: transfer RNA, 75 nt
Filed under: Cavernulicola chilensis
Lineage: Eukaryota; Rhodophyta; Bangiophyceae; Cavernulicolales; Cavernulicolaceae
Description: tRNA-Met
Rfam family: tRNA
About the family: Transfer RNA (tRNA) molecules are approximately 80 nucleotides in length. Their secondary structure includes four short double-helical elements and three loops (D, anti-codon, and T loops). Further hydrogen bonds mediate the characteristic L-shaped molecular structure. tRNAs have two regions of fundamental functional importance: the anti-codon, which is responsible for specific mRNA codon recognition, and the 3' end, to which the tRNAs corresponding amino acid is attached (by aminoacyl-tRNA synthetases). tRNAs cope with the degeneracy of the genetic code in two manners: having more than one tRNA (with a specific anti-codon) for a particular amino acid; and 'wobble' base-pairing, i.e. permitting non-standard base-pairing at the 3rd anti-codon position.
Source: RNAcentral
UAGGGAGGUAGUUCAAAGGUAGAGCUUUGGUCUCCAAAACCAAAAGUUGAGGGUUCAAAUCCUUCUCUCCCUGUC